GCCCGCAUGGCUCAGUGGUAGAGCGUAUCACUAGUAGUCGCUAUGAUAAGGUCAUCAGUUCGAUUCUGAUUGUGGGCA
Paraphaeosphaeria sporulosa is the source of this 78-nucleotide transfer RNA. It matches the Rfam family "tRNA". Rfam says of the family: Transfer RNA (tRNA) molecules are approximately 80 nucleotides in length. Their secondary structure includes four short double-helical elements and three loops (D, anti-codon, and T loops). Lineage: Eukaryota; Fungi; Ascomycota; Dothideomycetes; Pleosporales; Didymosphaeriaceae. The record is from Rfam.